RNA transcript from Propithecus coquereli (Coquerel's sifaka), 461 nucleotides. It is a transcript of the gene named baculoviral IAP repeat-containing protein 5 pseudogene, with no coding region annotated. The transcript has a single exon. The record is from RefSeq and is a predicted model, not a curated record. Lineage: Eukaryota; Metazoa; Chordata; Mammalia; Primates; Indriidae.
UUGCUGGACCGCUCGGCGGUGGCGGCGGCGGCAUGGGCACCCCGACGUUGCCCCCGGCCUGGCAGCUGUUUCUCAAGGACCACCGCAUCUCGACGUUCAAGAACCGGCCUUUCUUGGAGGGCUGCGCCUGCACCCCAGAGCGGAUGGCCGAGGCUGGCUUCAUCCACUGUCCCACUGAGAACGAGCCCGACUUGGCACAGUAUUUCUUCUGCUUCAAGGAGCUGGAGGGCUGGGAGCCAGAUGAUGACCCCAUAGAGGAACAUAAAAAGCAUUCAUCUGGUUGUGCUUUCCUUUCUGUCAAGAAGCAGUUUGAAGAAUUAACCCUCAGUAAAUUUUUGAAACUGGACAGAGAAAGAGCCAAGAACGAGAUCGCAAAGGAAACCAGCAACAAGAAGAAAGAAUUUGAAGAAACUGCAAAGAAAGUGCGCUGCGCCAUUGAGCAGCUCGCUGCCCUGGAGUGA